This 251-nucleotide ribosomal RNA is filed under the name uncultured bacterium. RNAcentral describes it as "partial 16S ribosomal RNA". It matches the Rfam family "Bacterial small subunit ribosomal RNA", at positions 525 to 775 of the family's 1533-position model. The record is from RNAcentral.
ACGGAAGAUGCGAGCGUUAUCCGGAUUUAUUGGGUUUAAAGGGUGCGUAGGCGGAAGAAUAAGUCAGCGGUGAAAUACUUCAGCUUAACUGGAGAAUUGCCGAUGAAACUGUUUUUCUAGAGUAUAAAAGAGGUAUGCGGAAUGCGUGGUGUAGCGGUGAAAUGCAUAGAUAUCACGCAGAACCCCGAUUGCGAAGGCAGCAUACUGGGCUAUAACUGACGCUGAAGCACGAAAGCGUGGGUAUCGAACAG